RNAcentral lists this ribosomal RNA (1532 nucleotides) under metagenome. Its description in RNAcentral is "bacterial SSU rRNA". It matches the Rfam family "Bacterial small subunit ribosomal RNA". The record is from RNAcentral.
AGAGUUUGAUUCUGGCUCAGAACGAACGCUGGCAGCGUGGAUUAGGCAUGCAAGUCGAGCGAGAAUCGGGAUGCCCGCAAGGGUGUUCUGAGGACAGCGGCGAAAGGGUGCGUAACGCGUGAGUAACCUACCCCUGAGUUGGGGAUAGCCCGGCGAAAGCUGGAGUAAUACCGAAUGUGAUUGAUCCGUUAUUCAUGGGUCAAUUGAAGGUGGGGAUCCCGCAAGGGACCUGUCGCUCGGGGAGGGGCUCGCGUCCUAUCAGCUUGUUGGCGGGGUGACGGCCCACCAAGGCGACGACGGGUAGCUGGCCUGAGAGGGUGGUCAGCCACACUGGGGCUGAGACACUGCCCAGACUCCUACGGGAGGCUGCAGUCGAGGAUCAUUCGCAAUGGGCGAAAGCCUGACGAUGCGACGCUGCGUGGAGGAUGAAGGCCUUCGGGUUGUAAACUCCUGUCAUUCGGGAACAAUUGCGCGCGGGCCAACACCCCGGGCGCCUGAUGGUACCGGAAGAGGAAGCCACUGCUAACUCUGUGCCAGCAGCAGCGGUAAUACAGAGGUGGCGAGCGUUGUUCGGAUUUACUGGGCGUAAAGGGCGCGUAGGUGGCUCCGCGUGUCGGAUGUGAAAUCUCACGGCUCAACUGUGAAACUGCAUUCGAAACUGCGGGGCUUGAGUGCGGGAAAGGAGAGCGGAAUUCUUGGUGUAGCGGUGGAAUGCGUUGAUAUCAAGAAGAACACCGGUGGCGAAGGCGGCUCUCUGGAACGCAACUGACACUGAGGCACGAAAGUUGGGGGAGCAAACAGGAUUAGAUACCCUGGUAGUCCCAACCCUAAACGGUGUACACUUGGUGUGGGGAGAGUUUACCCUCCCCGUGCCGGAGCUAACGCGUUAAGUGUACCGCCUGGGGAGUACGGCCGCAAGGCUAAAACUCAAAGAAAUUGACGGGGGCCCGCACAAGCGGAGGAGCAUGUGGCUUAAUUCGAUGCAACGCGAAGAACCUUACCAGGGCUUGACAUGCAGCUGCACGCCCCGUGAAAGCGGGGCUCCUUCGAGGGUGCUGCACAGGUGCUGCAUGGCUGUCGUCAGUUCGUGCCGUGAGGUGUUGGGUUAAGUCCCGCAACGAACGCAACCCCUGUGUCUAGUUGCCACCCCCGAUGAUGAGUUGGGGAGCACUCUAAACAGACUGCCCGUGUAAGCGGGAGGAAGGUGGGGAUGACGUCAAGUCAGUAUGGCCUUUAUGCCCUGGGCUGCACACGUGCUACAAUGGCCGGAACAAAGGGAAGCUAAGCCGCGAGGUGGAGCAAAUCCUCAAAACCGGCCCCAGUUCAGAUUGAAGGCUGCAACUCGCCUUCAUGAAGUUGGAUUCGCUAGUAAUGGCGCAUCAGCUACGGCGCCGUGAAUACGUUCCCGGGCCUUGUACACACCGCCCGUCACAUCAUGAAAGCCGUCUGCACCCGAAGUCGCUGAUCCAACCCGCAAGGGCGGUAGGCGCCGAAGGUGUGGGUGGUGAUUGGGAUGAAGUCGGAACAAGGUA